RNAcentral lists this long non-coding RNA (6879 nucleotides) under Sus scrofa (pig). RNAcentral describes it as "lncRNA (ENSSSCG00000057931.1)". The record is from RNAcentral. Lineage: Eukaryota; Metazoa; Chordata; Mammalia; Artiodactyla; Suidae.
CCACUGAUCAUUUCUGGUUUUAAGAAAUAUCUUCCCACAAAAGAUUAAUUGAUGGCAUUUAUUUUUUCUUUAACAUUUAAAAUGAGUUUGAAUAGAUGUGUUUUUAUAUUCAGUGAUACUUCUUGAAGGGUAAUUUCUCUGCUUAUGGCAAUACUACAGUUAGAAAUUGUUUCUAUAGCUCCAAAACAAGACUUGGCCUAAGUAUUUGAAGUAUCAUUAUUAGGAGAUAAUCAUAUGCUCAAAACAAUGUUACUAGUAGUAAUAUAAAAGCUGUUAAAUAUGAAAAUAUUCCAUAUUCCUGCUCCAUAUAAGAAAGCACCUUUACAAAGUCACCCAUCAUAUUUUCCUGUUAUUUCAGCUCAUUUUGGGACCUUUAUUCUUCCAACCCAGUCAGAUAUUUUACCUGCACUUUUCAUUUUGCCUUCUGUCUUCUGCCCCUUUAGCCUGCAAUAUUUUAUUCAUUUCAAAAAGGAGCAUCAUUCCUUUUUUUUUUUCUGAAUUUUCCUCUGAAUAUACACAAAGGUUCACACAUUCAAACAUGAACAUCUCUGAACACUUCUAGAUAACCAUCCAUGGUAGAGUUUGCAAAUAAAACUGGAAGAGACCUUAGUGAGUAUCCUACGUCCUACGUCCUUGUUUAGAAGAUGUGGAAACCCCAGGUGGUCAGUAACAAACACAGCACCACUCGAGGACUAGCCAGGAACCCACUCUGCUCCUCAGGUUGGUUUGCACAUAUUUUCAAGGUAGUAUGUUUAACACACAUCCGGUAAAUAUUGAUUGAGUACCUUCUAUUUGCCUGGUACCAUCUCAGGCACUGAGGGUAGAGCUGAAAGGAAGAAAUGUCCACCUACACAUCAUUUACUGGUAGAGAAUAAAUAUGCAUAAAAUAUUUAAUAUGUCAACAAAAGAUAAUGUCUAUAAGGAAAAAUAUCUAUGUAAGAUGACAUGGAAGGCCACUCUUAGUCCCUAAUCUGUCUGCGCUGCACUUUUAUUAGGGUCUAUGCUCCAUAGGCACAUCUUCCUUGUUCCUUUGGAGCAAUCCUUUAUUUCAUUUUAUUUUAUUUUAUCUUAUUUAUUUCCUUUUUAGGGCCAUACCCACAGCAUAUGGAAGUUCCCAGGCUAGGGGUCAAAUCUGAGCUAAAGCUUCUGGCCUGAGCCACAGCCACAUCAAUGCAGAUCUGAACCACAUCUGCAACCUGCACCACAGCUCAUGGCAACAAUGGAGACAUUUUAUCUCAUCCUAGCUAUAGACUUGUGGAGCUCAGUGCCCCUAGCUCUCUUUCUCCUUCCAUCCAGUUUUAAAGUAGCCACAAUGUGCUACUCUUUAGAGAAUAUAUUAGUAAGCAACGGUAAAAAAUUACUGCCCUUUUGGUGCUUAUAUUUCUAGUGGUACACUCCUUUCCUUCAUUCCUCUCAUCCUUCUCUCCUGCCUUCCUCUCCUCUUCUAGUCUAUCUUAAAUAAGAAUUAAUAAGUGAGAAAUUUUCACAUGGAUGUACAUUACCUUUUUUUAAAUUAAAAACUAAAAUCAGACAUUUUUCUGAUUGAAGGUAUGUUUAAUGGGAAGAACUAGUUUGACAAUGAGGACCCAUUUUGCCAAUUAGCUUAUUCAGCUGAAUGAAUUAAAACUGAAGCUGUAAAUUUUUGACAUAUGUAUAUUUUUUAAAAAAACAUAUGUAAUACGCCUCACUUCUGGAAAGUAUGUCACUUGAAACUCUAAACAAAUGAUAAUUAAAAUUUUAGAUGUCAAUUUUAAGAUGUGUGAAGACGUACAUGGUUUUUCAAAAUUAUUUUGGAGAAUAUCCAAUCUACCCUCUUCAAACCACUAUGCUGGGGUUCUUCUACUUCAAAACUGAUUACAGGGAGGGUAGGAGGUGCCUCAGGUUUCCUUUGAAUUGACAUUGUUACAUACCAGGAGAUCAGCAUCCACUCUGCUUUACUAAUGGAAUAAAGGGAAGAAAGGAAGGUGGUUACAAGGUUUGAAAACCACAGAAAAGUUUAUAUUCACUACCCUUUGCAUACAGUGUAUCACGUUUUUCCUUGUGAAAACUGGGCUUUUCAAUCCCAACACUGUUGACAUUUUAGACAAGACCAUUCUUUGCUGCAACAGCUGUCCUGAGCAUUGGAGCAUAUGUAGCCACGCCCCUUGUCCCUACCCACAAAAUAUCAGCAGCACCCCCUCUUCCAGUUGUGACAUUAAAAACAGCCUCCAGACAUGGCCAGAUUGUCACAGAGGGGGCAACAUCAUCCCUUAUUGAGAACCACUGUGCUAUUAUAACCAGAUGUAUUAUUGACUUUCUUCCUAAUACAGUAAUUAGGAGCCCCCUUGGAUUUGCUUAUUCCCUUACACUAAAAUCUCAACAAACUCUGCUUACAUCUAGUCAGUAGGGAAAAAAAAGAAGAACCUUUUCCUGAUCUGCUCUCCUGAGAUUAGUGGUAGAAUGCCUCAUCCUGUGAGACAACUAUGUCAUGGAACUACUUCUUUAAAAAAUGUCCUCCCAUUCUACAACUAGUUAGCACAGUUAUUCUUUAAGAGAUAUGUAAUUUUUCUCAGCAUGUGGCUAUCAAGCAGAGUACUUGAUUGAAAAUUGAAUCUAAACUUUUGGAGUUUCUAUUGUGACUCAUUGAGUUAAGAUCCUGAAAUAUUGUCCAUAAGGAUGCAGGUUCAAUCCCUGUCUUCACUCACUGGGUUAAGGAUCCAGCAUUGCUGCAAGCUAUGGCAUAGUUCACAGUGGUAGUUUGGAUCCCAUGUUGCUGUGGCUGUGGGUAGACCUACAGCCUCAGCUCCAAUUUGAACCCUAGCUUGGGAACUUCCAUAUGAUACAGGUGUGGCCAUAAAAUGAAAAUAAAUAAAUCGAAACAUUAAGUUUAUAAAAGCAGGGUAAAAAUAAGUACUUAGCUAGUCCUAUCAUAUACAUAGAUAGCUAUAGAUUGACUUAAUGAUAGAAUGUGGUUUUAAAAGUGAAAAAUGUUGUGAUAUCUGGUGAAAUUCCUUUGAGUAGAGAGGAUUCACAUCAACAGGCUAUUUAAUAUGACUGAGAUUUAACCAGAACUCUAAGAAAGUAGGUGCAAACUGUCUAAAUUUCAAAGAAAGGAUAGACAUAGGCAGGGCUUGCAGAGAGAGAGAUGGCUUAAAACCAGUUUUGCCAAAUUUAUGAAAAAUUUUAAUUUAGAGGGGCCAACAGGUUGGAAAUAAAAGAAUUUCUUGAACCAGCUAUUCAUGACAGAGGAUAGAUUGAUGGUUUUCGCUUCCCCUCAAGCCUAGUGCCAAUGGCUAAAAGAGAACUAUGGCGAUCCUAGAGAUGUGACUCUGGGAGACCAGUGGCCAUGAUGCAUGGUUUCUGAUUAACUCCUUCACAAAAAGGCUAGAACAGAGACUGCCUAAAAGGUCAUAGCAGCAGAGAGCAGAGCUGCAUUUGGAAGAAACCACCCUCUCCUUAAACACAAGUCAAAGAUACAUGGUAUCCUGCAGUGGGAGUGUUGGUUUAAAACUGCUUCCCCAGAGAGCUUCUGCCCAAUAACAAGUGAUCUCAGCAGAAGAUUCUGGAAGGACACAAUGACAUGCAGACCUAAGGCAGGAUGGUAAAUAGCCAGCUGAAUAAGAGGUGCUAAACAAGUAAGAGGGAUACUGAGAACAUCUCCCAGAAGUCAAGGGAGCAUGUGUGGGAAAAAGAAUAUUGAAACAUCUGCCAUUUCUGGAGAACACGAGUACCCCAUCCCUCAUAUGAGCCCAGGACAACAUUUCCUGUCAGCAUCCUCUCCUCUCUUUCAACCCUGGAGAAGCAUAGGCAGCUUAGUGAGUGAUGGAAGAAGAGCUGCUGUCAAGGUAUAAAAAUAAAGAUACCAACCCUGCAUCCCCUUCCUGCUACAGGAGGCAGUCAGGGGAAAGUGGAAGCUGAUGGAAGGUGUGUCCACAGGGAGAAACUUUUAACUUUGCAACGCCUUCUGAGAUGGUGAUCAAUACAAUACAGUGGAAAAAGUAAUUACUAAAAGGAGAUGAUAGUUUGUGGCUGAGAUUGACUGAAGAGUGGUUGAUAGGGUCAAAGGAAGAAGCUAAGCUGCAAGGCUUGCCCAAGAUUUCUUCUAGGUGCAGAAGGACCAGUUGCAUGAAAAGCAUUUGAAGAUGCAGCAAAGGGAAAAAAUAAAGUUGUUUUCUGAUUGCAUUCUACAAGUCCUGCCUGUUCAACAUAUCAGUUACAUACAAGUAAACACUGAACAGCUUAUUCAGUGAUAAUCCAAUUGACAGCUUUAUAGUAUAAUACAGUAUCAUUUUUAUUUUUCUAUAAAUUACAGAGUGCCUGCCUCUUCAUCACUCAGACAAAAAUGUUUUCAUUUCUCUUUCAUCAUCCUAUAGUGAAUUCCUGCCAUAGUACUAUACAGAAUUUAUCCGUCUCUAGUUUGAAAGAAUAUGAAAAGAAAACCCACACAGAAACAAAGCAGACAUGCUUGUUUUUGCUUGUAAAUCUUUCCUAACCAUAAUAAAAAUAACUGAUUAAGGGAGACAUUGAGGACUGAUGUUAUAAUUCAAUCUCUGGGCUUUUGAUUAUAGGAUAAAUCAACUGGAUUUCUUCAACAGAGAAAUAGCACUCAAAUCAAUCUUGUCUUAUUGGUGUCCUUUUACCACAUAUGUGAUUACAUAGCUUAGAAAAAUGUCAGAUUUCACAAGCAUUUAUUUGCCCAAUGGAUAUUUAAGAAAGAAAAAUCCACUAGAGAAGCAAAAUUCGAAUGAAUGUUUGGGUGAAAACUGUAUUUCAGCCAAAGGUGAAACAAGAACCCUUUUGAAAAGAGGUAGCUAGCCUAGUAAAGAAAUUUUAUAUGGAAAAAAAUAGAUAUCAGUAAACCUAAGUCCCAGACUUGAAGUUAAGUCUUAGAAACUUGGAUGGGUAUUACUCUUCAAUAUUACUGUUCUUAAGCUUUGUACUGCAAAAACUUAGAGGUGAGGAAAGGAAAGAAGCAGAGAAGAAGUUAAGAGUGAUGGAGGUAGACAGGGGAAGAAGGAAUCAUUUUAAACAACUGAGAAAUUCUAAGGUAGUUGCUUCAAGUAUAGGUGGAGCCAGGUAUUCAAGUAACAUGAAAAUUUCACUCUACUUACCACAGUUUCUUAUUUCUCUGUUGACUUCCGGUCGCUCUUCAUUCUGUGUUGACCUAUGCAACUAGAAGGUUAAAUUUUUUUGCUCCAAGUUCAAAGGAAGAGUAUGCUGCCUUCAUGGUCUUCCUUUUAAACUAAUUCCUGAAUAAACUGACAUGGGUUACAUGUCCGUUUUGAAUACAUCAUUAUUAUUGGGUGCAUGAUACAUGAUGAUUUCCCAGGACAGCAUAAUAUAACUUCUGCUAGGUAUGAUGGUGGAGCCAGCUCCAGAAAAACUGUAGGAAAUGAAAAGACUGAAAGACAAACUAUAAACCUGAAAAUUGUGUGGCAAAGGGAGUCUUUAAGCAAAAUCUGCCCUUGUAAAUGUAGAAAGGAAACUAAGUAAAUAAAAACAACAGUCUACCUAAGGUGAUUUAUGUUUCCUCUUAGGAUGUGGUCUUGACAUCUUUAAAAUAAACACUGAUAACAUAGGUUCUAUAGAUUUCCUAGGUUCAUUAUUGUAAAGCUUAAAUGAGAUCAUAGAUGUAAAAAUGCAUCAAAAGAAGUGUUGAGUUAAAAAAAGAUUUUUUUAGGAUGUUGAAGAGGUCUGUAGAUCAGAAAAAUGUUUAUAUGUUGAGACUAACUAAAUACUCUUUAUCAGAGGAUUAUGUGAUAUUUCUCUCUGUAUAUGUCAACAAUUAUUGGUAUUUUCUAAGACAUAAAGACUUCAUAAAGAGAUUAAUAUGUAUCUAGAUGUUGUAGUUCUUUUUUUAAAAUUGAUGUGUAGUUGAUUUACAACGUUGUGUUUGUUUCAGGAAUACAGCAAAGUGAUUCAGAUAUAUGUAUUCUGACAUAAUUGAAUAUAUCUUUUCAUUACUAUAUCAAAUAUAGUUCCCUGUACUAUACAGUAGUAAGUCUUUGUGAUUUAUCUAUUUUAGGUAGUAGUGCAUGUAUGUUAAUAGCAAACUCCUAAUUUAUCCCUCCCCUUCCCCUUUGGUAGCCAUAAGUUUGUUUCCACUUGUUUUCUGUGAGUCUAUUUCUGUUUUGUAAAUAAGUUCACUUGUAUCCUUUUUUUGGGGUUUCUACAUAAAAAUGAUAUAUGAUAUUUAUCUUCCCUUCAGGAGUAGGAUUACUGGACAUGUAGUAGUUCUAUAUUUAGUUUUUUAAGGAACCUCCAUACUGGUCGUACUAAUUUACACUCCUACCAACAGUGUAGGAGGGUUUCCUUUUCUCCAUAUCCUCUCUAGCAUUUAUUGUUUGUAAACUUUUUUUGGUCUUUUUAGGGCCACACCCAUGGCAUAUCGAGGUUCCCAGGGUAGGGAUAGAAUCGGAGCUGUAGCUGCAGGCCUACACAACAGCCAUAGCAACUCAGGAUAUGAGCCAUAUCUAUGACCUACACCACAGCUCAUGGCAACACCAGAUCCUUAACUCACUUAGCAAGCCAGAGAUCAAACCUGCAUCCUCUCGGAUGCUGGUUGGGUUCCUUAACCACUGAGCCAUUACGAGAACUCCUGUGUAUAAACUUUUUAAUGACGGCCAUUCUUGUAGCUGUGAGGGGAUACCUAAUUGUAGUUUUGAUUUGCAUUUAUCUAUUAAUUAACAAUGUUAUGUUGAGCAUCUUUUCAUGUGCCUGUUGGCCAUUUAUAUGUUUUCUUUGAAGAAAUGUUACUCUAUGAUAUGAAUAAGCAAGAAUGAAAUAUUGAGAUUCAAUACAUUUCUAGGCAGUUACAAGGCAAAUAUCCUCUGAAGUUUGAAAAGACUAUUUUUUCCUAAAAUGACAGUCUGAUGCAUUAAAGAAAAAAUUGUAUUGGGG